AGUGGCGGACGGGUGAGUAACGCGUGAGAAUCUGCCUUGGGGUCGGGGACAACCACUGGAAACGGUGGCUAAUACCGGAUAAGCCGAUUGGUGAAAGAUUUAUUGCCCGAAGAGGAGCUCGCGUCUGAUUAGCUAGUUGGUGAGGUAAGAGCUCACCAAGGCAGCGAUCAGUAGCUGGUCUGAGAGGACGAUCAGCCACACUGGGACUGAGACACGGCCCAGACUCCUACGGGAGGCAGCAGUGGGGAAUCUUCCGCAAUGGGCGAAAGCCUGACGGAGCAAGACCGCGUGAGGGAGGAAGGCUCUUGGGUUGUAAACCUCUUUUCUCAGGGAAGAAGCUCUGACGGUACCUGAGGAAUCAGCCUCGGCUAACUCCGUGCCAGCAGCCGCGGUAAUACGGAGGAGGCAAGCGUUAUCCGGAAUUAUUGGGCGUAAAGCGUCCGCAGGUGGCGAUUCAAGUCUGCUGUCAAAGCACGGGGCUUAACUCCGUAAAGGCAGUGGAAACUGAAUAGCUAGAGUGCCGUAGGGGUAGAGGGAAUUCCCGGUGUAGCGGUGAAAUGCGUAGAGAUCGGGAAGAACAUCGGUGGCGAAAGCGCUCUACUGGACGGCAACUGACACUCAGGGACGAAAGCUAGGGGAGCGAAUGGGAUUAGAUACCCC
This 660-nucleotide ribosomal RNA is filed under the name uncultured bacterium. RNAcentral's name for it is "bacterial SSU rRNA". It matches the Rfam family "Bacterial small subunit ribosomal RNA", at positions 94 to 788 of the family's 1533-position model. The record is from RNAcentral.